Molecule: ribosomal RNA, 433 nt
Filed under: uncultured bacterium
Lineage: Bacteria
Description: partial 16S ribosomal RNA
Rfam family: Bacterial small subunit ribosomal RNA
Source: RNAcentral
AACGAACGCUGGCGGCAUGCCUAACACAUGCAAGUCGAACGAGACCUUCGGGUCUAGUGGCGCACGGGUGCGUAACGCGUGGGAACCUGCCCUUAGGUUCGGAAUAACUCCCCGAAAGGGGUGCUAAUACCGGAUAAUGUCUUCGGACCAAAGAUUUAUUGCCUUUGGAUGGACCCGCGUUGGAUUAGCUAGUUGGUAGGGUAAAAGCCUACCAAGGCGACGAUCCAUAGCUGGUCUGAGAGGAUGAUCAGCCACACUGGGACUGAGACACGGCCCAGACUCCUACGGGAGGCAGCAGUGGGGGAUAUUGGAAAAUGGGCGAAGGCCUGAUCCAGCAAUGCCGCGUGAGUGAUGAAGGCCUUAGGGUUGUAAAGCUCUUUUACCCGGGAUGAUAAUGACAGUACCGGAAGAAUAAGCUCCGGCUAACUCCGUG